UACAGAGGGUGCAAGCGUUGUUCGGAAUUAUUGGGCGUAAAGCGCGUGUAGGCGGCUUUGCAAGUCGGGUGUGAAAUCCCUCAGCUUAACUGAGGAAGUGCGCCCGAAACUGCCGAGCUUGAGUACCGGAGAGGGUGGCGGAAUUCCCCAAGUAGAGGUGAAAUUCGUAGAUAUGGGGAGGAACACCGGUGGCGAAGGCGGGUCUCUGGACAGUUCCUGACACUGAGGCACGAAGGCCAGGGGAGCAAACGGG
RNAcentral lists this ribosomal RNA (253 nucleotides) under uncultured bacterium. RNAcentral's name for it is "partial 16S ribosomal RNA". It matches the Rfam family "Bacterial small subunit ribosomal RNA", at positions 524 to 776 of the family's 1533-position model. The record is from RNAcentral.